GAUGAAGAACGUAGUGAAAUGCGAUAAGUAAUGUGAAUUGCAGAAUUCAGUGAAUCAUCGAAUCUUUGAACGCACAUUGCGCCCGCCAGUAUUCUGGCGGGCAUGCCUGUUCGAGCGUCAUUUCAACCAUCAAGCCCCCGGCUUGUGUUGGGGACCUGCGGCUGCCGCAGGCCCUGAAAACCAGUGGCGGGCUCGCUAGUCACUCCGAGCGUAGUAAUACAUCUCGCUCAGGGCGUGCUGCGCGUUCCGGCCGUUAAAAAGCCUUAUUUACCCAAGGUUGACCUCGGAUCAGGUAGGAAGACCCGCUGAACUUAAGCAUAUCAAUAAGCGGAGGA
RNAcentral lists this unclassified non-coding RNA (335 nucleotides) under soil metagenome. RNAcentral's name for it is "partial contains 5.8S ribosomal RNA, internal transcribed spacer 2, and large subunit ribosomal RNA". The stretch from base 1 to 120 matches the Rfam family "5.8S ribosomal RNA", at positions 35 to 154 of the family's 154-position model. The record is from RNAcentral.